Micropterus dolomieu (smallmouth bass) is the source of this 2839-nucleotide long non-coding RNA. RefSeq lists it as uncharacterized. The transcript is spliced from 2 exons. Lineage: Eukaryota; Metazoa; Chordata; Actinopteri; Centrarchiformes; Centrarchidae. The record is from RefSeq and is a predicted model, not a curated record.
CAAAAAGGCCAAACUGAGGGUGCAUCAGGCAAAAUAAAAAACCUGCUAAAAUAUUUACUAUGUCAGGCGGAGCAGUCUGACAAGAGAAACGCUGUACAAAGAGCUCGCCAUCGAAGAUGAGCGACACAAUGAUGACGCCCUUUUCUGCCAGGACAAAGAACUUCACAUCCACAGCGCCACACUCAGCACUACGCAAAAUUUCCCCAUUGAGUGUAUGGUUGGCCAAGAAGGUGACCUCUCCAUCGCUGAGGAACAUCAACUGGUCGCCCUUUGGUGUCCAGAUGUGCCGCACGCGUGGACCCAGGAUGUUGUCCCAGUAAGCAAAGGUGGCAGCCAGCAGCGGGCAUUCUCCCUCUACCGCUACCUCAGACUUUGCCACAGCAGGUGACUGGGGUGGACAGCCAGAAGACAUUGGAGAGACUUGGAAAGGUCACUGUCUUCCCAAGUGUAUGAGCGAUAAUAAACCUACAUCAUAAACACAUAAGACAGCAAGUAGUGUUAAUAGGACAGUGCUGGUGCACCAUUGUAAAAAUUGUUUCAUGUCAAUCUUGUAGCAGAAUCAACUUAAAUUCCAAAUGUCUCUGAAGCAACCCAUCUGAUGUGCCAUAGCCUUAAUACAGCCACUUUCAGCUCACAUAGUGCAUGAAAUCAAAACAUCUAAGGCUUUAAGAGGAAAUGAAAGUGAUUUGCUUUGGGAUGUUGUUCAAGUCAGCUGAUAGGCUGCUUGGUAGAGUCACUCAAAAUCAACUUCUCUUUCUCACAGUGUGGUGUGAUCUGAAAGGAGGAAGGUUUCACAAACUCCUUUCAAAAGUUGCAACAAUUUCAAGCUUUUUUUUUUUGGCAAAACAUAAAUCUGUUCAAAACUGCUUACCCAAAAGCCCACCACAGAAUUGCUGUGUAAUUUUGCAUUCAUACUUUACUUCAGUAAAACGUCGCUUUUAUUAUUUUUACCUUUCACGCCGCUCAUCACAACUCAACGUUAGUAUUUUCCUGGAAACUGGUGAGGCUUAUCAGACAUGAAGUAUUAUGUAUAACUGUAAAGAAAGGGGGGGGAAAAAGCAAUUCACCUGCCACUUGAUUGACUACAAGUAUGCCGAAUUUACCAGCAAUUCCAGUUAAUUUAAGGUUUGUAGCUGGUGUGUUGCCAUGUAGCUGUUUAUAUCCGCAGCAAGCAAUGCGUCUUUACACCGAGAGCUUUUACAACUGAAUUUGGCGUUACAUGUUUCACGUUACACAAGUAAGAACAGAGCGCAAACAGGCUGACGUUACAACUAGGGUUUAUAGCUUAAUGGCAGUAUCGGUAGGGAGUACGGAAAGAAAUAACGUUAGUGUUUAUACUCAGUCAAUAUUUUGUUGUGCUUUUGAAACCAGUCUAACUCGCUAACUAGCACUAACGUUACCAUUGAAAAAGCAUUACUUGGGAAUGACAGCGCUGUGACUUACCUGUUCGGUCUUUCUGGUGCUAAAUCGCACAGAAAAGAUUUCAAAUGUUGUUGAAACUUAACCGCUGGAUUUGUUUUCUGUUAUUGCCAUAGCAUGUGACGCUUUAAUGGUGAUUAGCCAGCUGCAGUUUUGUUGUCUUCAAGGCACUUCCUAGUACGUCAGCCCUACGUCAACCAUUGAUGGCGACGUUCACAGCGUCCUCUAGCGAACGAGGCACGGCCUCGUUCGCUAGAGUGAGUCAAUGAUGUCAUUUUUUCCCCUGGCGGCCACGUGCAGAAUGUUAGUUAUUUAAAUUAAUUUAUGGAGUUCCAUCAUACAAAUGGAUGCGUUUGCAGUCAUAACAGCCUUUUAAUUUAAUCUUCUGAGGCUACUGUGAGUCCAAAUGGCAAACCCACUUCAGUCCUGAAGACAUAAUAGGCUACUGCUUUUGUCUCUUUCCCCUUAUCAUAGCUCUGUAAAUUGCAUUCAUGACAUCUCCUAAAAUUUUCUGGCUGCAGACCAUCAGGGGAACCUUAACUGUAUGUGUCCACAAUUCUCCUUGAGGAUAUCUGAUAUUUACACCUUUACAAGAAAGAUUAACACCCUUAGUCCUCCUCUGCUGUAAGAAUGGGCUCGUCGAGGAAUUCCCCCUUUUCACACAUCUAUAGAAGAAAGCAUGUCAAGAGAAGCAGUUAUCCAGUGACCCCCUCUCCCAUCACAGGCAUUUGGUUGAAUUACCCUAGGAUCACAAAUACCUUCACAACUAUUCCAAGCACUGUAUAUUCACUUACACACACACUUGAGCUUACACCGAAUUCACAAUAUCAUUCCCAAUGGUCUCAGUAAGACACUAAUGGGAUGGCUGACGACGUUGGCUCUAAAUGGCUCAUCAGCAGUUUAGAGACUGAAUUGCUCCUGCAAACAGUCAACCCUAAGUACAUACACAAUUACACAGGGAGUUGAAAAGGGUAUACUCAGCUGCGCCGCCAUCAGAGACAUGUGCAGUGCUGUCCCGUCAUUUUUGGGGAAUAUUCUUAUUCGCUUUCUUGCCUGGCAACCACUUGACGACGCAGCCGAGAUUCUGUUACCUUUGUACAGAGCCGGGGUAGCUGCCCCCCAUACCUCCACCCGUAAGACUACUGACUGCUGAUUGUUGCUUUAUAACGAACAAACAUGAGAGUCUCAUCCAACACUUGGCAAGAAAGAGAAUUAGCGUAUUCCCCAAAACAUCAAACUAUUUCUUCGCAGAACUUUUGUUACCAUUUAAUUGAUCCUGGGGGAGUCUAAACACAUGGCUAUGUAGCGACUGUCCUUCAGCUGAACUAAUUGCAUCCAGACAGGAGUUGAUAGUAGUGCUAGUGUCUCUAAAUAUAUGACGUAUAAGAACUUGUAAUAAAAAAUACUGAAUAUUCUUUGA